AUUUGGCAGAAAAAGUAGUUCAAUAUGCAGUAAUGCUAUGUAGUAAUUACUGUAUUUAUGAAUUUAGCACCAAAAUAUCACGAUAUAUUGAAAAUAUUGACUACAAAAAUGUGUUGGAUAAUCCAGAAUGUUGGAUAAGCAAGUGUUGGAUAAGUGAGACUCUACUGUAAUUACUACAUAGCAUUACUGCGCAUGGAACUACUUUUUCUGUCAAAUUUGUUGCAUAAUAUGUUUUGGUGCUUAAUUUGUAUAAUCAUUACCUAAUUUGAUGUUUAAUUGGCUUUUCCUGAAUCCCUUCUUAUUAUCCAACAUAUUCACUUAUCCUGCCGGCCUGUUUAUGUUGGAUAAGUGAGACUCUACUGUAUAUUUAUAAUCUUAUAUUAUCUGCUUAGAACUGGAUUAUAUGAGGCCCCUUCUUCACAGUUGUAUAAAAUGCACACUGGAUUAUAUGGUAGUGUGGAGUCAAGAUAAUCCAGUGCAAAACAAAUUAUAUAAGAUAUAUUAGCUAUAGAAUGGGUUAUAUAGCUGUGUGGAAGGGCCUUGAGUCUACACUGCCAUACAAUCCAGUGCAAAUUAGAUAAUCUGUGGAAAAGCCUGAGGCCUAAAUCUGCCUGUCCCCUAACUGAACCCUGGCUGUCCCUUGGUUGCUAGAAGACCAAGUGGGCAGAGAUUAGCCCUCUAAACUGGCAGCAAUUGGAUAAAAACAAUUACUGCUCUCCCUCUAAUUAGGACUUUUUCUUUUUUUGUUGUAUCAACCUAGAGGCAUGGAUGAUGGGUUGUGUUCUCAAAUUUCGAGGUUGGGGGGUCUGUAGAUUUGUUGUUUUGUCCGGUGCCCUGAUUCCAUCACUCUUUUAUAUAUAUACUAGCUGUGCCCGGCCACGCGUUGCUGUGGCGAUGUCUGGUGGUAUGGGAAAUAAAGUAUUGAGGAAUUGGUGGUAGUUAAGGUAAAGGGUAAAGGUUUUCCCCAGACAUUAAGUCCAGUCGUGUCUUACUCUGGAGGUUGGUGCUCAUCUCCCUUUCUAAGCCGAAGAGCCGGCGUUGUCCGUAGACUCCUCCAAUGUCAUGUGGGAUGACUGCAUGGAGCGGCGUUACCUUCCUGCCGGAGCAGUACCUAUUGAUGCACUCACAUUUGCAUGUUUUUGAACUUCUGGGUUGGCAGAAGCUGGGGCUAACAGUGGGGGCUCUCUCUGCUCCCCCAAUUCAAACCUGUGGCCUUUCGGUCCAGAAGUUCAGCAGCUCAGCACUUUAACACGCUGCGCCAUCAGGGGAUAUUAUUUCCUAAAGGUUGUGAAUAUACACUAUUUCUGAUUGGUUUUUUUGUCUGUUGGAGGCAAGUAUGAAUGCUGCAAUUAGGAAAAAUGAUUAGGAUGUAAUGGCCUUGCAGCUUUAAAGCGUGGCUGUUUCCUCCCUGAGUGAAUUUUUUGUUGGGAGGUGUUAGCUGGCCCUGAUUGUUUCCUGUCUGGAAUUCCCUUGUUUUCAGAGUGGUGUUGUUUGUGAUAUUUUAUGUGCUUCUACUGUCUGUGGCCCUGAGAAAACAGAGGAUUUUCCAGACUUUGAUGAUGGGAAUACUUUGUUGGGAGGUGUUAGCUGGCCCUGAUUGUUUCCUGUGUGGAAUUCCCCUGUUUAUUUACUGUCCUGGUUUUAGAGAUUAUAUUGUUCUGCAUUAUUCUAUCCCAGUAAUUAUUUCAUAUUAAAGAAGAAUCUCAGUUAUCCAACAUUCGCUUAUACAAUGUUCUGGAUUAUCCAACGAAGUCUGCCUUUUCAUAAUCAAUGUUUUUGUAGUCAGUGUUUUAAAUUCAUUGUGAUAUUUUAGUGGUAAAUUUGUAAAUACAGUACAGUAGAGUCUCACUUAUCCAACAUAAACGGGCCGGCAGAACGUUGGAUAAGCGAAUAUGUUGGAUAAUGAGGAAUUAAGGAUAACCCUAUUAAACAUCAAAUUAAGUUAUGAUUUUACAAAUUAAGCACCAAAACAUCAUGUUAGACAACAAAUUUGUCAGAAAAAGUAGUUCAGUACACAGUAAUGCUAUAUAGUAAUUACUGUAUUUAUGAAUUUAGCACCAAAAUAUCACGGUAUAUUGAAAGCAUUGACUACAAAAAUGCAUUGGAUAAUCCAGAACAUUGGAUAAGCGAGUGUUGGAUAAGUGAGACUCUACUGUAAAUACUACAUAGCAUUACUGCGCAUGGAACAACUUUUUCUGUCAAAUUUGUUGUAUAAUAUGAUGUUUUGGUGCUUAAUUUGUAUAACGAUUACCUAAUUUGAUGUUUAAUUGGCUUUUCCUGAAUCCCUUCUUAUUAUCCAACAUAUUCACUUAUCCUGCCGGCCUGUUUACGUUGGAUAAGUGAGACUCUACUGUAUAUUGAUAAUCUUAUAUUAUCUGUUUAGAACUGGAUUAUAUGAGGCCUCUUCUUCACAGCUGUAUAAAAUGCACACUGAAGUGGCUUAUAUGGUAGUGUGGAGUCAAGAUAAUCCAGUGCAAAGCAGAUAAUAUAAGAUUAUAAAUGGGUUAUAUAGCUGUGUUGAAGGGCCCUGAGUCUACACUGCCAUAUAAUCCAGUGCAAAUUAGAUAAUCUGUGGAAGAGGCCUAAGUGAGGCCUAAAUCUGCCUGUCCCCUAACUGAAACCUGGCUGUCCCUUGGUUGCUAGGCAACCAAGUGGGCAGAGAUUAGCCCUCUAAACUGGCAGCAAUUGGAUAAAAAAAAUUAUUGCUCUCCCUCUAAUUAGGACUUUAUUUUUCUUUUCUUUUUGUUGUAUCAACCUUGAGGCGUGGAUGAUGGGUUGUGUUGUCAAAUUUUGAGGUUGGGGGGCCUGUACUUUUGUUGUUUUGUGAAUUGCCGUGAUGCCAUCACUCUUUUAUAUAUAUAGAUAUAGAUGGAUUUGAUAUUAACAGUAUGUUACCCAUACUCUAAAAAAUAUGCCCCUCCCCUAAGGUUUUUGUGGGCAUCUCUAAGUCCUCCAGUCCGAUUCUAUGGAAUGCUUCUAGCCCCAAGUAUAGUCUGUUACAGUGGUUCUCAACCUGUGGGUCCCCAGAUGUUUUGGCCUUCAACUCCCAAAAAUCCUAACAGGUGGUAAACUGGCUGGGAUUUCUAGGAGUCGUAGGCCAAAACAUCUGGGGACCCACAGGUUGAGAACCACUGGUCUAUGUUAUAAAUUACUUAAAUCUAACCAAAUAAAAAUAUUUUUCAAAAGAUAUCCACAGUGGGUGGGUAGAGUGUUGGAAGGUAUCCCCUCUGCAGAUAAAGGGAUAAUGCUAUACUGAAACCUGGAGUCAUCCAAUGUAGGUAAUGGUAGAAGAUUCAGAAUUUAUUAAAGGAAUUCUUUCUCUACACAGUACUGUACGAAACCAUAGAAUUUAUUACCACCUGAUUUAGGUUGCUAACAUUGAUGCCCUUAUAAAAGGAUUAGCCAAAUGCUUGGAAAAUAAGACUAUCAGUGGUUACUAGUGAUUAUGACUGUAUAUAUGCUCCAUUAUAUCAGAUAGCAUGCUUAUCAACACCUUGGAAAUAUGAGUGGCUUGGUGAUGUAUGUUAUUUUUGGAGACUUCCCAUAGGACUUGGGUUGGCUGUUGCAGAAAACAAAUGCAUGCCUUUUAUGUUCACCUCAUUAUUUCCAACAUCACGAAGGUAUCACAAGGCUCUUACAGCUGUGGGAGACAGAUAGAAGUUUGCACUUCAUGGUUUUGAAACUGUUUACCAAAUCUAGAGGGUAGGUCUGAUCAAGAAUUAAGUCUCUUUUACUUUGAAAUAUCUUACAGAGAUUUUGGGAGGAAUAAUGCAAGUCUGAUGCCCUUCAAAGAAAGAUGGCACUGAAAUAUGCAAAUAAGCUAAGGAAUGAUUUAACAUGAUUAGUUCCCCCCCCCCACACACACACACAGAAAAAAAAUUUAAGAAAGCCGAGAACUCAUUUGUGAAUGAAUCAAGGGGGGUUUAAAAAUCACAUAUUAUUGCUUAGUGGUUCAGAAAUCGUAUCUCAAGUUGCAUGCCAGUGACUAGAGUUAAUUGCUACUUUGGUUUACAAGUCAGAGUGCUUUUCAGAAAACACUUUCAGAUCUUAAAAAGAGAUUUCCUAGAUAUUAAACAGGCUUAUUUCUAUUUAACCUUGCAGAAAGCAAAUGAUUCCUUGACCCCUGCUUUUUUCUUUGACUCCUUGUUUUCAGUGCCUCACAACUCACUCUCCUUUCUACUGGAACUUAAAGAAAGGAUGAUGUUUUAGCCGUGUAGUGCGAGUUUGUUCUGCUGAUGCAGUGAGAAAAAACAUUCUUAAAAUGAAACUCUCUUACAAACAAGAUUUAAGAAAAAGGUCUUUGAAAUUAAAUAUUUGCUGCACAGAAAACAAGAAUACAGAAUUAGCACCAACAGUAAAGACAAAAAUGCUUACAAAUCUGAUCAGUGUCAGUUUAUAAAAGGCAGGUUAUGACUCAAUCAUGAAAAAAUAAAUUUCUACCCACUUAGGAAGGCAGUAGGAACUGGAAACAGUAGAAACUGGAAAUGAUUUGGUCCCAUACCUAGAUGAUUCCCUCCCCCAAUUUCAAAUACUGUAUUGACUGAAUUUUCUAAACCCCAAAUGUGAUGUGCCUCAAUUGUAUGUUGGGUAGAAUUUAGUUUUUGUGAUGCAUACAAGUUGUAGGAACCAGUGUAUAUCGAAAAUGCAAUUAGAAAGAAUUGUGAAUUUACAACAGAUGCAGUGAUAUCACCCUAAUCUUUAAGUCUCAUUAGAUUACAAAACUUGAAAGGGAGAUGGAAAAGGUACUACAUUAAGAAGUAAUAGUCAUACCAGAAUUAUUAUUGGCAGAGAAUGUAAGCUAUUUUGGUGUCAAUUUUGAUUUUAUUUCCUUUUUGCUAAAAUGCAGUUUCAGUUUCAUAAAGAAUUAAAAAACAACCUAGCUGAACUGGAGAGUUGGCAAUGUCACGAAAUACAUCAGAAAGGAAAAGUAUUUGAUUUUGCAAAAAAAAAUUCCCUUAAAACUAUUUCAACACAAUGUUUUCAUCCAAUGUUUAUUAAAAAUUACUACACAAGAAAGUCCGGUAUCACUCUAAAAAUGCAUUCGAUUUUAAGCUUCCCAUUUCCCAAAUUCCAAUAUUAUGCAAAGCACAUACAGAGACAAAAUAUAUCCAUUAUGAAUAUAGAAGAACACCAUCAUGUUAAAGUAACCUACCCAAUUUAAAAAUAAACAUAAACUACAAUUGAGAUACAUGAAUGCAAUUGCCACUUCUUCAUAACUGAUAUAGGUAUCACACAGAUACACAAAGAAUGACUAGAUAUUGCUUUUUAAUUGGAAACAAAUAUAUCUGGUGCCUAAAAUUGCAUUUUUUCAUCCUGCAAUCUGCUACUGGAAGACAAUGGAGAAAUAUUGAACUAGAGACAUCCCUUCAGAUUCAGUGAAGUGCUUUGUUUUAUAUAUAGAAGGUUUCAGUUGAACAGAUGCUUCUUUCUUCAAGCACAUUAAAUUUCAUGACCACAGAUCAACAGAUCAGAGUUACAGAUCUGAUCUAUUAUCAGCAAUAGAGAAGGAAACUGAUCCACUACAGUGGUGAACUUUGUCAGAAGUUAUGUGUGAGUCUUUCAGAGCCUAGUACUCCCACAUGAUCUACAUAUUGGGUUAGGGGUAAAAAGUCUGUUAAUAUAAAAGACAGUAUUUACAGAGCAUAACAUAGGCAGCCAGGAUACUAGAGACUAUAUAUUAUAUGUGCUAUUGUGCUGGCCUUCAAACUAGGCACAUGAAGGAAGACUGAAGCAGAUAAAUGCCAAACUAGAUCAGGUAAGAUACCCUAACACAGUGGUUCUCAGCCUGGGGUCCCCAGAUGUUUUUGGCCUACAACUCCCAGAAAUCCCAGCCAGUUUACCAGCUGUUAGGAUUUCUAACAGCCAUAACCAGUGAGGUAGCAGCAUACUUUUGAAGGACAGAGGAAGGAACUGGGCAAACCACCUGUGCAUAUUCUUAGACUCUAUUACACCACUUUUUUUUUCGUGUCAGGAGUAACUUGAGUCGCUUCUGGAGUGAGAGAAUUGGCCCUCCAUGAGGACGUUGCCCAGGGGACACCCGGAUGUUUUGAUGUUUUUACCAUCCUUGUGGGAGGCUUCUCUCAUGUCCCCGCAUGGAGCUGGAGCUGAUAGAGGGAGCUCAUCCACGCUCUCCCUGGGUGGGAUUCGAACCUGGCAGCUUUCAGGCACGAAGAUCAUGGCAGAUGCAGACUGCAGCCAGGAAAUCAGAAGACGUUUACUUCUCGGGAGGAGAGCAAUGGCCAACCUCGAUAAAACAGUGAAAAGCAGAGACAUCACACUGGUAACGAAGGUCUGCAGUUAAAGCAAUGGCAUUCCCCAUAGUAACCUAUGGAUGCGAGAGCUGGACCAUAAGGAAGGCUGAGCAAAGGAAGAUAGAUGCUUUUGAACUUUGAUGCUGGAGGAAAAUCCUGAGAAUGCCUUGGACCGCAAGAAGAUCCAACCAGUCCAUACUCCUGGAAAUAAUGCCCGGCUGCUCACUGGAGGGAAGGAUAUUAGAGGCAAAGAUGAAGUAUUUUGGCCACAUCAUGAGAAGACAGGAAAGCUUGGAAAGGAUCAUGAUGCUGGGGAAAAUGGAAGGAAAAAGUAAGAGAGGCCAACCAAGGGCGAGAUGGAUGGAUGGUAUCCUUGAAGAGACUGGCUUGACCUUGAAGGAACUGGAGCAGCGACGGCCAACAGGGAACUCUGGUGUUGACUGGUCCAUGAGGUUACUAAUAGUCGGAAACGACUGAGUGAUUGAACAACAACAACAAAACAGGUGGGGGGAUAAGUCACUUAUCUAUAACUAGUUUUUUUUUCCAGUGGGUUAUCUCCGUAUACAAAUGUGAUGCUGUUGCACAGGCUUUGCCCAUUUGCGAGUUACAGAGACCACAAAGAAAAGAUUGGUGUGAUUACCAGCUAAAAGCUAAAAAAAAAGGGUAAUUUCUCAACUGAGCCAAUGAUAUGACUCUGUCGUUUCCCAUCUCUUCUUUUGUUGCAGGCUGACUAAAAUGGAGACUCAGUGGCAGUUGGGGAAGAAACAAUCACUGUUCAGACUUGGCCUGGCUUUCCUUUUUUGCUCCGACUACAACCUAAAUUAAUGGCCCAUAAAAAGAUUCCACCAAAAGAGUUAGAAAUUGCACAUAUAAACAUCUAUCAGAACACUGCUUCUUAAACUGUGGCACCCGACCUCAAAUGGGGUUCCUUUAGUUCAGUGUUGGACUCCUGAAGAAUUUGACAAUAGUAAAAGGUUUUCUGGACACAAUGCAUUUACACAAAUCUGUGCAGUGUUUACAGUGGACUCUGUAUAAAAUACUUUAGUUGUACUUCAUAAAAAGGAAAAUCAGACUGUUUAGCAAGCCCUGCAAAUGCUGAUUUAUUAACCUUACUGUUUGAUUUGUAUACCUAUUUUAUAUACAUAAACAUUUCCCAGGCAGAAAGAGGUCAUAAGUGGAAAACAUUUAAGAUGCUCUUUGCUUUCUUCUUCCUAGUAGUUAAGAAUAGAGGGACUAAACCCAGCUGUUCACUGCCACUGAUAGAACUGUUUCUAUCUUCAAAAAGGGAGUACUGUCUUCCCUUUCCACUUUAUUGCAUGCACACACCCCAAAAAAGAAUGAAAAAAUUGGGAAACACACUAGAGCUGGGUCUCAGAUUGAGGUGGGAAGGGGGAAAAGUUUUGUUGCAAUUGCACUACACUAUCACCGAGCUUUAGUACAGCAAGUUAAAUCACCAGCUGCAAUAAAUCUUGUCAGUUGAGAAGCUGACAGUGCGAAGUCCAGUCAGUGAGCUCCUGAUCUUUAGCCCAGGUUCCGCCUUCCUAGUAGUUCCAAAGUAAAAUGUGAGUAGAUAAAUAGGGACCACUUAAAAGCGGGGAGGUAUUAAGGCACCCAUAAGGAAAUGCCGGAGAUUUGAUCAAAAGGACGAAGUUACGAACAAAGCUCUUCAGCAGGGAGAUGGAGUGACAGCACCCCCCCUCCCAUGACCAGAACCGAGCACAAACCUCUACGAUGCCUAUAUACCUCUAUCUAUGUUCAACUGUCUGUCCUGUCUGUGUAUAAACAGCAUUGAACAUUUGCCACAUAUUUGUGUUAUGUGAUCCAGCUUGAAUCCCCUUUAGGGUAAGAAGGGUGGAAUAUAAAUACAAUCAAUCAAUCAAUCAAUCAAUCAUGACAUUUGAUAUUGGCCAGGAUAACUAAGGUAACUCAUUGGUUAAAUAGCAGGACAUACGACAAAACUAAAAUAACAAGUACUAUGCCAUUUGCAAUCAAUAUUUGGAACAAGUUUAAGGAAGCUUUCAAAAGAGAAAUAAUCAUUUUUCACCAUCUCAAGAUAUAUCAGCAAUUGGAUUAUUCUGUUCUUAUCUUCCUACAAUUGAGUUGUAGGAUAAUAACAGGGAAUCAGGUGAACUCAUGUUAAAUUCAUGACAAUAAAGAUUGUAAGACAAAACAUUUAUUAUUGUUGUUAUUAUGUUUUUAUUAUUUUAGAAAAAAUGAGCUAUUAAGUAUCAUUUUCAUUUAUGAUUUGCACUGGAUGCAGUCAUUGCAUCAAUAAAUGUCUACCCUUAAAUAUUUUAUUUUUAAAAAACCAUUAAUAUGCAACAAUGGCUUGUACACUUCCUUUCUACAAUAGAUUUUUUUUUUUGUCAGGAGAUAUUUCUUUCUAUUGAAAAGAAAAAAUAUAUACCAGUAUAUGCUACUUACAAAUUCAUAGUCACCAUCCUGAGGUACUCUCCAAUCUGGUGAAUACCUUUCAGGUACCUGCCUUACACAGUUUCUCCGAUUCUCUUUUUCUUUUUGUUCAAAAUAUUCAAGGAAAGAUGGUCUCACAGACGCCAUUGUUUCAUCUCUUCCUAUAAAUAUAAAAUUAAAACAUCAAUUUUAUUAACUUUAAAUCAAACAUUUUAUGUAUUUUACAUUCCACUAAACAAAUGUAUUGUUUACUAUCUUGCUGUUCACAAUUUACUGGUGUGUGCCUUGAAGUCAUUUCCAAUUAACAGCAGCCUUAAGUUGAACCAUUGGUGUUUCAGAGGAGGUCUGACAAUGCUGAAAGAGUGACUUGUUCAAAGUCACCCAAUGGGUUUUCAUAUCUGAGUGGAAACCUGAAUCUCCAGAGUUGUAAUCCAGUUCCAAAUCAAUACAAAUCAAUAAUGCAGUUAAUUUUCAAGCCACAAAAUAAAAGUGCGCUUUCUCAUUAAAAAAUUAAAAGAUAUGGCGAUCAGAAGGUAUUAUCUAAAAUCAGUAACAGAUCUGAGAAUAUCACAGAGGGUGUUCUGUCUCCUUGAGUUAUUCCAUCCCACCUAAUGAUUUAAAAUCACAUCAAUCUUCUUCAAAGCUCAGUUUAUAGCAUUAGGAAAAAAUAUUAAUUCUUUCACCUCUUGAGAAGGAUAUGGUCCUAUACUUGAUGUACAGCAGAGUCUCACUUAUCCAAUAUAAACGGGCAGGCAAAAUGUUGGAUAAGCAAAUAUAUUGGAAAAUAAGGAGGGAUUAAAGAAAAACCUAUUAAACAUCAAAUUAGGUUAUGAUUUUACAAAUUAAGCACCCAAACAUCAUGUUAUACCUCAAAUUUGACAGAAAAAGUAGUUCAAUACGAAAUAAUGCUAUGUAGUAAUUACUGUAUUUAUGAAUUUAGCACCAAAAUAUCACAAUUUAUUGAAAACAUCGACUACAAAAAUGCAUUGGAUAAUCCAGAAUGUUGGAUAAGCAAGUGUUGGAUAAGUGAGACUCUACUGUACAUACAUAGAAAUCAACAUUCAUUCCUUUAUAUGUUUGAUACUGUGAACUGUUACAUUAUUUCAGCAGGAUCACAACAUGGUUUAGCCUUCUUGACAAGAGAUCAAAAAAAAUUGUGUCGCAGAAUCUCUAUGGUGUCUUUUUAAGAAUUAAGGAACUGUAGAAAUAGGCAGAUUGACUAUUCCGAUUAAGAAGAAAUUUUUGAUCAACUUUAAGAAAGACUGUGAACUGCUCAUUAAUUUUUUUUAUCAAAAUGACAACAGCAUUUAUCAAUGGUAAACUGUUGUCUUAAAUAAACGUGAGAUUAUGCUAUUGUUAAAAGGAAGCCAACUUAUAAGGAACAACAACCAUCAGCUAGAGAGUGGGACAUUCGUAGUUUUUUCUUUUUUUAUAGUUGCUGAAUUAUACUUUAGUUGUAGUGUACAAUACGUAUUAAUGUAGUUUUAGCUUUAUAUACCCAAAAUGUUGUUUGUGUGUUUUAUUUUGUGAUUUUCUUGAAUAAAAUUAUUAUUUUCAAAAGGAUUAUGAGAUUGUCACUUACAACUCCAGAGAACUGUAGUUAAAAAGUUAUCACUUGGAUGACAGUAUUUUAAUGGAUAUUCCCCUACUGAGUUUAUUAUAUUUUAAUGUAUUUUCAGGCUUCCCUCACAAUAUGGAAGGCAAGUCUAUGAAUUACAUGGCAAGGUUUAUACAACCUGGAGAGAGGAAAAAAGACUACCAAGAACCAGUAUAUUUUGAUGUUCCUGUUAUAUUAUUAAACUUCUAGAAAAUGCCUUAAUGUAUCACAGCACUCAAAGCAUUAUAAGCAAUCUAAAAAUAGUAAGAACCAUCAACUCAACUGUAACACAGACAAACCAUUCAGAGUGAUAGUUUAUGUGAAACUUCCAUCUCAGCACAGAACACAAUGUGGAAACCUGCUAAAAAUGACAGUCAAACAUUUCACUGUCUGCAAAGAAGAACAGAGAGUGAUGACCAAAUAGUUCCUAAUAAUACAGAAGACAGGCAACAUCAUCCAAAUCAUUGCAAAAGCAUCCUGUUCAGUUCAUGAACUUUGUCUCCUAGAAGUAUAUCUUAAGCAAGGCCUACCAAGUCAAACUCAGUAAAAGACAAGUAAAAUAUUGUACAUGGACUCCAGGGCUUUUUCAGGCACACUGAUCACAAAUAUGAAUGAUGUAUUAAAGGGUAAUCUUAUAUGGGGGGUGGAGAGGAGAGAAGGGGUCUACGUUAAUUGCUGCAAUAACAUGUAUCAUGCUUAGGUCUAUGUUUGAUGUUUUUAUAGUUUUAAUGGUUUAAUCUACAAUUAUAUAUUUUUGAUUUAGAUAUGUGAUAUAAUUAUAUAUGGGAGACAUUGAAUUUUGCUAUUUAUUAUGUUGUAAACUGCUUUGAGUCCCCCAGUGGUGAGAAAAGUGGUAUAGAAAUGCAGGUAAUAAAUAAAUAAAUAAAUAUUCAGUCAGGUAUUUCAUGAAUGCCUAAUUGUUAUAAAUGCAUCUUUUAAAUGAAGUAUGUGUAAUUCAUUAUCACUGUUAUGUUUCAAAUGAUUUUAAGCUAUUUCAUAUUAGUGCUGUUUUAAUAGGAUGGUUCAUUUAAUUUUAAAUAACGUAUUAUUAUAAUUGUUGUUCUCCAGCUAUGAGCUUCUCUGAAUUUCAUAUAGGGGAAAAAGAUGUGAUGUGAACAAAUCAUCAACCAACAAAUAAACUAUUUUUAAGUGCCAA
Molecule: long non-coding RNA, 11416 nt
Organism: Anolis carolinensis (green anole)
Lineage: Eukaryota; Metazoa; Chordata; Lepidosauria; Squamata; Anolidae
Exons: 2
Source: RefSeq, a predicted model, not a curated record